RNAcentral lists this ribosomal RNA (253 nucleotides) under uncultured bacterium. RNAcentral describes it as "partial 16S ribosomal RNA". It matches the Rfam family "Bacterial small subunit ribosomal RNA", at positions 524 to 776 of the family's 1533-position model. The record is from RNAcentral.
UACAGAGGUCCCAAGCGUUGUUCGGAUUUACUGGGCGUAAAGGGUGCGUAGGCGGUCGGGUAAGUCUGAUGUGAAAUCCCGCAGCUUAACUGCGGAAUGGCAUUGGAUACUAUCCGGCUUGAGGAUGCGAGGGGGGACUGGAAUUCUCGGUGUAGCAGUGAAAUGCGUAGAUAUCGAGAGGAACACCAGUGGCGAAGGCGAGUCCCUGGAGCAUUCCUGACGCUGAGGCACGAAAGCUAGGGGAGCAAACAGG